RNAcentral lists this ribosomal RNA (467 nucleotides) under uncultured bacterium. RNAcentral describes it as "partial 16S ribosomal RNA". It matches the Rfam family "Bacterial small subunit ribosomal RNA", at positions 28 to 506 of the family's 1533-position model. The record is from RNAcentral.
GACGAACGCUGGCGGCGUGCUUAACACAUGCAAGUCGAACGGAAAGGCCUGCAGCUUGCUGCGGGUACUCGAGUGGCGAACGGGUGAGUAACACGUGGGUGAUCUGCCUUGCACUUCGGGAUAAGCUUGGGAAACUGGGUCUAAUACCGGAUAGGACAGCUGUUUAGUGUCAGUUGUGGAAAGUUUUUUCGGUGCAAGAUGAGCUCGCGGCCUAUCAGCUUGUUGGUGGGGUAAUGGCCUACCAAGGCGUCGACGGGUAGCCGGCCUGAGAGGGUGUACGGCCAAUUUGGGAUGGGGAUAGGGCCCAGACCCCUAGGGGGGGAAGGGGGGGGGAAUUUGGCAAAAUGGGCGGAAGCCGGAUGCAGGGACGCGGGGGGGGGGAUGAAGGCCUUGGGGUUGAAAACCCUUUUCGCCAGGGACGAAGCUUUUGUGACGGUACCUGUAAAAGAAGCCCCGGCUAACUACGG